AAAGCAUGAUGAGGGCAUUGAGACCAAUAGCCCUUGAAUUUCUCUCAUGCUUCACUUAAGCUCUCAAGAUUCUUCUGUUGAAACCCAGAGAUUUCAUUCCUGAUAUU
Molecule: small nucleolar RNA, 107 nt
Organism: Brassica rapa (field mustard)
Lineage: Eukaryota; Viridiplantae; Streptophyta; Magnoliopsida; Brassicales; Brassicaceae
Source: RefSeq, a predicted model, not a curated record